Long non-coding RNA from Epinephelus moara (kelp grouper), 1609 nucleotides. RefSeq lists it as uncharacterized. The transcript has 3 exons. The record is from RefSeq and is a predicted model, not a curated record. NCBI's taxonomy places the organism in Eukaryota, Metazoa, Chordata, Actinopteri, Perciformes, Serranidae.
GCAAGAUGUGAAGGAGAGAGGAGAAAAAAAGUAAAAGAAAACAGUGUAGUGCAAUUAACUGCAACAACUAUCAGUGGAACACCUGGCCUUCCACCGUUUCCCGAAGGAUCCCGACAGCGGGUCUGCUGCGGCCUGCUGACAGUCCAAAAUGGCGGCGGUAGGACGAAACCAUGGGCGAGUCUGUUGCUACGGGUCGUUCUAUUGAGCUUCGCCUCUUGGUAUCCAUGCUCUUUGGAUUAGUCUCGUGCGGAGGACGGCGGAGUGAAAAGGCUCCAGAGUUUAGUUUAGUAAAGACCUUGUGACGUCACAGACAGCUGGAUGUGGACUUCAAAGCUGAAAUAAAACUACAAAGAGCAGUGAGAGUGUUUUGGGAGGAUGGAGACAGUCUGAGCUGCUGACUGACAGACACUGGGACAUGGACCCAGACAGGAUGUCCUCCUGGAGGACACACGGGGACAGUAAGUGACACUGUUUACUCCCUCUGCUCCACAUUUAUCUGACAGCUGCAGUCACUCUGCUGACUGACAGACACUGGGACAUGAACCCAGACAGGAUUCGUUUACUGUUGAUGGAAAUGUUGAUGUGGAGCUGCGGCCUGUUUGUUGUCACUCCCCAAAAAUGCUGUUGAGCCAUAAAGCAGGAAGAGGACAACACACUGCAUUAGGUCACAGGUUAUGAAGAAGGUGGUCUUAAAUGAUACAGACUGUAUUAAUAUUGAAUGAAUCGGUUCAGAUCCUUCGUGAGAAAUGACAACAGCCUUUGGUUUCACAUCUCAAACCACGUGUUCAGGAAGUUAGGAGCAUCAGCCUCCUCCAGAUGUGACUGUUAUUAAAUUAGCUCCUCUUCCAUCAGCAGGGACCACAUUAUUGGAAAAUGAUUUGCAGACAGUUUUAGCCCCAUAACACCUCAGUGUGGACCUGCAGGUCUGUGUCACUGAAAAGUCAAUCUGUAGUUUCUAGAAAAAGGAACAUGAUGUGUGUUGCACUGACUGAACGCUUCAGGAAACAUUCUGCCCUUUGACGACCUUUGGUCUACAUCAAACGUGUCAUCACAGCAAUCCCUCAGUCUGUUAUUGUGAUGUCAUAACAUUUAUUCCAAAGCAAUGUUUGCCCCAGUCUCCCUUCGCUUUGGUGAAUGGUCCUAACAUCACCCUUUUAAAACAACCUCAUUUCACAACCCUGGUUAAAGAAUAAUAUCCACUCUCAUCAAACAGAAAUUCAAUUCUACAGUUCUUGUCUAAACAGUUUCCUGUUGCACCAGAAGUGAAGGAGGGUCACAUUAAUAACCAUCUGCUGAAUGAUCAGGACGUGUUUUUGGUUUCGAUCAUAAGAACUGCUCCUUCUGUGACGAACACUGAAACUACACAGCAUUUAUUUUAUCAAUGUAACUUUGCCUUUUGGGACAAUUUGCAUUAUUGUCUGUUUCCUCAAUUUGUCAACGUCUCUCGUCUCACAAAGGAAAACGUUUUGUUUGGUUUACGUGUGAAAGAUCUGAUACGUAACCUGGAGAUCGACUCAAUCAUCAAGUUUUUUUAUACAUAAAACAGAUUCAUGAAAUUUAAAUCAAAUGUUUUUCACAAAGAAAUGUGUCUUUACUUUUCAUCACUGAA